GACGAACGCUGGCGGCGUGCUUAACACAUGCAAGUCGAACGAUGAACCCGGAGCUUGCCCUGGGGGAUUAGUGGCGAACGGGUGAGUAACACGUGAGUAACCUGCCCUGGACUCUGGGAUAAGCGUUGGAAACGCCGUCUAAUACAGGAUAGGAUCUUGGAAAGCAUGAUCUGGGGUGGAAAGUUUUUUCGGUCUGGGCUGGAAUCGCGGCCUCUCCGCUUGUUAGUGAGGUAAUGACUCUCCAAGGCGUCGACGGGUAGCCGGCCUGAGAGGGUAACCGGCCACACUGGGACUGAGACACGGCGCAGACACCUACGGGAGGCAGCAGUGGGGAAUAUUGCACAAGGAGCGAAAGCCUGAUGCAGCAACGCCUCAUGCGGGAUGACGGCCUUCGGAUUGUAAACCGCUUUUAGUAGAGAAGAAGGGCUUCGGCUUGACGGUACCUGCAGAAAAAGGACCGGCUAACUACGUG
This 472-nucleotide ribosomal RNA is filed under the name uncultured bacterium. RNAcentral's name for it is "partial 16S ribosomal RNA". It matches the Rfam family "Bacterial small subunit ribosomal RNA", at positions 28 to 507 of the family's 1533-position model. The record is from RNAcentral.